GGGCCCGCACAAGCAGCGGAGCGUGUGGUUUAAUUCGAUGCGACGCGAAGAACCUUACCUGGGUUUGACAUGGAGCUGCACCACGGGUAAUGCCGUGUCCCUUCGGGGCGGUUCCACAGGUGCUGCAUGGCUGUCGUCAGCUCGUGCCGUGAGGUGUUGGGUUAAGUCCCCUAACGAGCGCAACCCCUGGGGUCCGUUGUAGGUUUCGGGCCCGACUGCCGCGCGCAACGCGGAGGAAGGUGGGGAUGACGUCAAGUCAGCACGGCCCUUACGUCCAGGGCGACACACACGCUACAAUGGCCGGUACAAUGGGUUGCCAAGCCGCGAGGCGGAGCCAAUCCCCCAAAGCCGGUCUCAGUUCGGAUGGUAGGCUGCAACUCGCCUGCCUGAAGCCGGAGUUGCUAGUAACCGUGGGUCAGCACACCACGGUGAAUACGUUCCCGGGCCUU
Molecule: ribosomal RNA, 449 nt
Filed under: uncultured bacterium
Lineage: Bacteria
Description: bacterial SSU rRNA
Rfam family: Bacterial small subunit ribosomal RNA
Source: RNAcentral